This 488-nucleotide ribosomal RNA is filed under the name uncultured bacterium. RNAcentral's name for it is "bacterial SSU rRNA". It matches the Rfam family "Bacterial small subunit ribosomal RNA", at positions 28 to 526 of the family's 1533-position model. The record is from RNAcentral.
GAUGAACGCUGGCGGCGUGCCUAACACAUGCAAGUCGAACGGAUGGGGCGGAAUGCUUGCAUUCUGCUUCAUUAGUGGCGGACGGGUGAGUAACACGUGGAUAACCUGCCUUAUACAAAGGAAUAACAACUAGAAAUGGUUGCUAAAACCUUAUAAGCUUACGGGGUCGCAUGAUUCUGUGGGAAAAUAUUCAUAGGUAUAAGAGGGGUCCGCGUCUGAUUAGCUAGUUGGUGGGGUAAGAGCUUACCAAGGCAAUGAUCAGUAGCCGGCCUGAGAGGGUGAACGGCCACAUUGGGACUGAGACACGGCCCAAACUCCUACGGGAGGCAGCAGUGGGGAAUAUUGCGCAAUGGGGGAAACCCUGACGCAGCAACGCCGCGUGAAGGAUGACGGUCUUCGGAUUGUAAACUUCUAUCGAUGGGGAAGAAUAAUGACGGUACCCAAGUAAGAAGCACCGGCUAACUACGUGCCAGCCGCCGCCGUAAGAC